AUACAUCGUUAAAAGACUAUUGGC
This 24-nucleotide non-coding RNA is filed under the name Arabidopsis thaliana (thale cress). The record is from RNAcentral. Lineage: Eukaryota; Viridiplantae; Streptophyta; Magnoliopsida; Brassicales; Brassicaceae.